AUUGAACGCUGGCGGCAGGCCUAACACAUGCAAGUCGAACGGUAACAGGAAGAAGCUUGCUUCUUUGCUGACGAGUGGCGGACGGGUGAGUAAUGUCUGGGAAACUGCCUGAUGGAGGGGGAUAACUACUGGAAACGGUAGCUAAUACCGCAUAACGUCGCAAGACCAAAGAGGGGGACCUUCGGGCCUCUUGCCAUCGGAUGUGCCCAGAUGGGAUUAGCUAGUAGGUGGGGUAACGGCUCACCUAGGCGACGAUCCCUAGCUGGUCUGAGAGGAUGACCGGCCACACUGGAACUGAGACACGGUCCAGACUCCUACGGGAGGCAGCAGUGGGGAAUAUUGCACAAUGGGCGCAAGCCUGAUGCAGCCAUGCCGCGUGUAUGAAGAAGGCCUUCGGGUUGUAAAGUACUUUCAGCGGGGAGGAAGGGAGUAAAGUUAAUACCUUUGCUCAUUGACGUUACCCGCAGAAGAAGCACCGGCUAACUCCGUG
Molecule: ribosomal RNA, 490 nt
Filed under: uncultured bacterium
Lineage: Bacteria
Description: partial 16S ribosomal RNA
Rfam family: Bacterial small subunit ribosomal RNA
Source: RNAcentral